GCCGAGGUGAUGAAACUGGUAAACAUGCACGGUUCAGAGCCGUGUGCCCUUUAAGGCUUGUGGGUUCGAAUCCCAUCCUCGGCA
Non-coding RNA from Parcubacteria group bacterium CG2_30_36_38, 84 nucleotides. The record is from Rfam.